This 572-nucleotide long non-coding RNA is filed under the name Salvia miltiorrhiza (redroot sage). RNAcentral describes it as "long non-coding RNA (SMIL_LNC012512)". Lineage: Eukaryota; Viridiplantae; Streptophyta; Magnoliopsida; Lamiales; Lamiaceae. The record is from RNAcentral.
GUUCAAAUUAUGCUCAACUUGUCAAAGAAGAUUGAAUUCUACCAAAUUUUAUCAAAGAAAUCAUCAUAAGCCCCUCACCAAAAAUCUAAUGGAGUAAUAACCAACUCAAAAACAAUCACACACCACCAACCAAACAGGAUAAAACAAUAAAGCCAACAAAAAGAUAAAAGUGAUACACAUAUCUAUUCUCACCCCCCUCCCCCAAACUUAUUACAGAACAUAAGUUCGAAAAUAAGUUUGGAGGGAUGAUGAUAUGUGUGUCACUACUCACAGAAAAAACAUGCUCCAUGGUGGUGGUAUGAACCAAGCGCGAGUUCCCGCAUCUUCCAAGCUCAACGCUGCACUAAAAACCCCAAAACAAAGAAAACAAAGAAAACAAAGAAACAAAAAGAAACUAAACGAAAGGAAAACAAAACAAAGAAAACGGUUGGGUUACCUCCCAACAAGUGCUUAAUUUAACGUCUAGAGCUCGACGAUACCUCAAAAACUCAUGGAGGUCGGAAACAGCACUCUAACCAUUGGAAAGCUUUUCUACUCUUUGGUGCCCUCUCCACCAAGACACUUCUCUUGGC